RNAcentral lists this ribosomal RNA (253 nucleotides) under uncultured bacterium. Its description in RNAcentral is "partial 16S ribosomal RNA". It matches the Rfam family "Bacterial small subunit ribosomal RNA", at positions 524 to 776 of the family's 1533-position model. The record is from RNAcentral.
UACGUAGGGGGCGAGCGUUGUCCGGAUUUACUGGGCGUAAAGCGUGCGCAGGCGGUUCGUUGUGCCUGAUGUGAAAGCCCCGGGCUCAACCUGGGAAUGGCAUUGGAAACUGGCGAGCUAGAGUGUGGCAGAGGGGGGUGGAAUUCCGCGUGUAGCAGUGAAAUGCGUAGAGAUGCGGAGGAACACCGAUGGCGAAGGCAGCCCCCUGGGCUGACACUGACGCUCAGGCACGAAAGCGUGGGGAGCAAACAGG